Molecule: small nuclear RNA, 107 nt
Filed under: Microcebus murinus (gray mouse lemur)
Lineage: Eukaryota; Metazoa; Chordata; Mammalia; Primates; Cheirogaleidae
Source: RNAcentral
GCGCUCGCUUCGGCAGCACAUAUACUAAAAUUGGAACGAUACAGAGAAGAUUAGCACGGCUCCUGCGCAAGGAUGACACACAAAUUCGUGAAGCGAAAAAAAUAAAA